RNAcentral lists this non-coding RNA (774 nucleotides) under Cyclorhipidion bodoanum. Lineage: Eukaryota; Metazoa; Arthropoda; Insecta; Coleoptera; Curculionidae. The record is from RNAcentral.
UAAAAGUUUUUUUGCUUUGGGGUUUCAGAAAAAUCUGGAUUAAAUGCAAGUUUUGGCGGGAGAAAUUUGUAUUUAGAUAAUUGGGUUGGUUUAAAUGGCAGUAGUUAAUAUUAAAUAUUCGGGGGGCCGAGAUUUAGUGGGGUUAAAUUAGUGCAAACAAAAUUUGUGCCAGCAGUUGCGGUUAUACAAAUUGUGCAGUGAAAUUUUAUUGGGAAUAGUUAAUUUGUGGGGUAUAUAAAUUGAUGAGGAUUUAUUGGGUGAAAUUUUAAAUUUUUUGUUUGUAUGGGAAUAUGUUAAUGAAGCUAGCAAAUUUUAAUAAAAACUAGGAUUAGAUACCCUAUUAUAAAAAUUAAUGUAUAAAACCUUAAUUAUUAAAAGUUAAGUUCUUGAAAAUUAAUAAAGAUGGCGGUAUUUUAGUCUAUUCAGAGGAAUCUGCCCUAUAAUUGAUAUUCCACGAUUUAAUUUACUUAGGGUUUUAGCUUAUAUAUCGCCGUAGAUUGAGUAUUUUUUAUGAAUUAAAAUAUUCAUAGAUUUUAAGGAAAGGAUAUCAGGUCAAGAUAUAGUUUAUACCUAAGAAAGAGGUGGAUUACAUUAUUUUUAUUUUUGGUUAGUUAUUUGAAAAGGUAACUAUAAAUUGGAUUUGAGGGUAAUUUGUUAUUAAAAUUUUUUAUAUGAUUGUAGCUCUAAAAUAUGUACAUAUCGCCCGUCGCUUUCACUAUAAAGUGAAAUAAGUCGUAACAUAGUAGAUGUACUGGAAAGUGCCUCUAGAAGGGC